This 466-nucleotide ribosomal RNA is filed under the name uncultured bacterium. RNAcentral describes it as "partial 16S ribosomal RNA". It matches the Rfam family "Bacterial small subunit ribosomal RNA", at positions 28 to 507 of the family's 1533-position model. The record is from RNAcentral.
GAUGAACGCUGGCGGCGUGCUUAAUACAUGCAAGUCGAACGAUGAAGCGCAGCUUGUUGGGUGGAUUAGUGGCGAACGGGUGAGUAGCUAGUGAGUAACCUGCCCUUAACUAUGGGUUAAGCAAGGGCAACUGGGUCUAAUACCGGAUAGGAGCGUCCACCGACUGGAGGGUGUUGGAAAGAUAUAUCGGUUUUGGAUGGAUUCGCGGUCUAUCCGCUAGUUGGUGAGGUAAUGGCACACCAACGCCACGACGGGUAGCCGACAUGAGAGGGUGACCGGCGUCACUGCGACUGAGACACGGACCAGACUCCAACGUGAGGCAACAGGGGGGAACAUGGCGCAGUGGGCGCGAGCCUGUUGCAGAGACGCUGCGUGAGUGAAGACGUCCUUCGGGUGGUAAACCUCUGUCAGUAGGGAAGAAGCGAAAGUGACGGUACCUGCAGAAAAAGCACCGGCUAACUACGUG